GCCCCCGUAGCUCAGGUGGAUAGAGCGACAACCUCCUAAGUUGGAGGCCGCCCGUUCGAGUCGGGCCGGGGGCGCCA
Molecule: transfer RNA, 77 nt
Filed under: Pseudomonadota bacterium
Lineage: Bacteria; Pseudomonadati; Pseudomonadota
Also listed under: 1 other name
Description: tRNA-Arg
Rfam family: tRNA
About the family: Transfer RNA (tRNA) molecules are approximately 80 nucleotides in length. Their secondary structure includes four short double-helical elements and three loops (D, anti-codon, and T loops).
Source: RNAcentral